This 572-nucleotide long non-coding RNA is filed under the name Sorghum bicolor (sorghum). RNAcentral's name for it is "long non-coding RNA (SBIC_LNC011660)". The record is from RNAcentral. Lineage: Eukaryota; Viridiplantae; Streptophyta; Magnoliopsida; Poales; Poaceae.
AUAUAAUCAACAGUAACAAAAAUCAUCAACAUAUAUAAACAAAUAUCCUUAGACACCUCUAAGCAGCGUUUGGCUAGGACUAGGAAGUACGAGAUGCAUGGCUAAGAUAUAUAGACAGAUCGACACCAUACCGUCCGAACAUCUUUUUUCCUUUGCUAGCUUGAUUCCGUUAAAGCAUUUUGAAAAAAGGCAAAAAUAACAUAGCAGAGCAUACAAUAAGGAACCACAAUUUCAUCAGGUACAUAUCAAUGUAGCUUGUCUCGGCAAAACUUAGCUUAAACAAAAGUAACACAGAACCAAUACAUAGCAUCUGUCCACAAAGCUUAAGGUAACCAACUGUCUUAGCAUUGCCCUUAUCAUAAGAUAGAAACCUAGCUAGGACCCGAUCAAACUGCCAUAUCAAGGACACUUUUGGGACCUUAGACCUCAGGUGCCAAGACCGGAGGGCGCAGCUCAUCCUCGUCCUUCGGGGUAUGGAUGGUCACCAGGUCCGGAAGAGGGGUGAUUGGACCAACCUUGCCCUUCGGGUCCCAGUCGAGCAUGAUCUUCACCUUGAUACCAAGAACACCCUG